Non-coding RNA from Podarcis lilfordi (Lilford's wall lizard), 1761 nucleotides. Lineage: Eukaryota; Metazoa; Chordata; Lepidosauria; Squamata; Lacertidae. The record is from the annotation of a GenBank genome assembly.
AGACAAGUCCUUGGUACAAGAUUAGCAUAAGCAGACAUGUCAGGGCUCGAGACCCAGGUAUAAGAUUAGCAUAGACAAACACCUCUGAAGUCCCACCACCCAAAGUACAAUAGAAGUUCCUUUGCAUGUCUGGCCCCUUGGCAAGUCUGGUGAUGGGAUUAGGCUUUCCUUGGCCAACAAUCAGCUCAGUAAUUGUCACCUCUAGGCACUUCCUGGAGUCCUUUUCUCAAGGGCAAAAUAGCUUUGGAAUGGAGGAAACUGGCAAAGGAGUUGAUUUUAUAUGAUUGUUAAAGCUAGGUAACUUCCCUGAACUGUCAAGCUGAAAGGAUACAUUCAGGCAUAAUAUUUGUAACAUUUAACAACUUUAAAGAUGCGCCGCCCCCCGUAAUCUCUGUAACACUGGGUAUCAGACUGAAGCUGGAUCAGGGCUUCUAGCAGCUUCCGGGUCCCAGAGGAGGGUGCUUUGCAGGCAGGCCUGAACCCCAGAAACAACACCUGGUUUCGAAAGGAGUUGCAAGGCUUCUGAUUUCCUGUUCCUUAGGGAGAGCCCCAGCCUUUCAAGCCAACUCCAAACGCGCAGUGGAGUAAACAAAGCUUUGGAAAUCCAGGAGUGGUGGGCACAGGGAGCAAGAAUAUAUAUUGCAGAGGCAGAGAGACGGCAGAGAGAUGUGGGCGGCUGCUGCUGCUGCUUCUCUUACUUGCUCUCCUCCUUGUUAUCACGACAGUCGUGUCUCCAGCACAGCAACAAAAGCGGAGUCUCUCUGGCUUGUGAAGGCGGCGGCGGCGGCGGCGGCUUCCAAACUUUAGAGCUUUCACAAAUCUCUCCCUGCCUUUUCAGGCACUCAAAGGCUUCCUCAGGCACUUACUUGCUCCGAGAAAGAUUAUAGCAAAGCUUUCUGCUUUGUGCUUCUCCACCCAGGGGGUCUCCAGAUUGCUGGGCCAUUAGGCGCUUGAAUGACCUCCACCCCCCCUUCCUUUUUUUUGGUGGUGGUGGUGAGAUAUUUCUAAACUCCCUUUUUCACACUGGCUUUUGAUGGCUCCUUAAUGGCCCACACCAGAGCCAGGGCAAAGGACAUCGCUUCAUCCCGAUGGAGGAGGAGGGGCCAGCCUCCUCUCUUUCCUUUGGCCUGGAAGGCAGUUGAAACCGAACCAAUCCACUUCGUUUUGAUCUUCCUCUUCCUCCUUCCGUGGAACAUCAUCUGGGAUUCAGGCAAGGAACAUCUGUGCGUCCUAGCAAGGUGCAAAAAUAUACCCCACCCCCAAGACACCCUCCAAGUGGUCCCUAUUUUCCAGGGACAGUCCCGGAUUUAAAAGAAGCCACCCCUGCAAGGAUCCUGUACAUGUUUACUCACGAGUAAGUCCCACUGCCUUUAAUGAGGCUUGCUUCCAGGGAGACAUGCCAUUGACUGCAGCCUAAAUGUCCAUUUCGACAGCAGAGGUCGGCAUGAAUUUGAAUCUGUGAGCAGAAAAUUUGAUUCCUGCGGGGUUUUGAUCCCCAUAGAGGGUGUCUGUGGGGGUUGGUUUUUUUUUAGGCGGGGGGUGGUGGAUUCUGCCCUUGGGGUCGUCUUCUUCUUUUAACAACCUUGGGGGUGCGUUGACCUGCAAAAAAGUCCAAUGGCUUCUUCAAGGGCACAGCAUGCAGGAGAAGUUUCAACCACGCAUAUCCUCGCCCCCCUCCCGCACCCCCGAGCCAUUAAUUUCAGCUGAUAAAUCUGCAGAGCUGUCUCAAAUAAUGUCAGGAGGAGCAGCGUCGGGAGCAAA